GUGAUUGAGCACCUGCUGAAGGGGAGUAGCCAGCCCUGGGAGCACAGGUGGAUGCAAUUCACCUGUGGGUGUGGACCUCAUUUAAGGGCUGGCAGCCAAAAGGGAAGCGUCUCUACUUGGAAGCUGCCUCCUUUGUUGUGUUGGGUGAGCCUUGAGCCUUUGAAAGGGGUAAGUGAUUCCUCCCUUUUUUUUUGCCAGAUUAUGGCCUCUACCUUUCCUGGAGAAUCUGAAACUGUUUUAAAGCAGCUGUAUCUACUAUUGCCCAUCCUUACAAUGCCCUUCAAUUCUUCUCCAGGAGAGAUUAAUGGAUUAUAUCCCUUUCUUCAAAGUGGUGUUGAAGGUGCUUAUGACUAUGCUCAAUCCUUUCAUCCCCCAGCUUGUACUGGUAGUGUGGCUUGCCUUGACCAAGACCGUGCACUUGGAUUUAUGGAACCUUGUGAAGAUGGCCUGGGCCACUGCUCAAGCCUGUCUGGGUCCCUCUGGAUGGUGUCCCUUCCCUCUGGCAUGUCAACCACACCCCACAGCUCGGUGUCAUCAGUAAACUUGCUGAGGGUGCACUUGAUUUCACUGUCAAUGUCAUUGAUGAAUGACAUGAUGAAGAUAUUGAAGAGUAUUGGUGCCCGUACUGCCCCCUGUGGGACACCACUUGUCACUGAUCUUCAUCCAGAUGCUGAGCCACCGACCACUGCUCUCUAUACUCGAUUUUGCAGCCAGUUCUUCAUCCAUUGAACAACUCAUUCAUCUGUUCUAUACCUUUCCAAUUUUAGGGAAGGAUGUCGUGGGGUACUGUGUCAAAGGCCUUACUGAAGUUGAGACAGAUGACAUCAGUGUUCCCUCAGGACUCUGUGAUGCGUCUCACUGGGACCCAUAGACUUGUGGUUGUUCAGGUUCCUCAGGUGGUCCAGAACCUGAUAUUUGCUCCCGAGGUGGGGGGGGAAUUGCUUCCCCAGUCCUGUCCUACCAAACAUUAACUGCUUGUCAUAGAGCUCUCAAUCAGAGAAGACUGAGGCAAAAAAGUUGCUGGUUGCCACCUUCUUGUCUGUUGUUAUCAGCCACAGUGCUGCUAGUAAGCAGCAACGUGCGCAUGGUGCAGCCACUUUGCUCAGAGAAGGGAGAACUACAGUGCACAUCCCCAAAAGAGGGGCCACCCUGGUGUGUGGGGGGGUAGUCCCUUCAGUAUUGUAUUGCGUUCAACAGGUGGCAGCGGAGAACUGCAGUGCUCCUGGACAGUGUAAAAACAAAAACACUGCCAGGACAGUUUUGUGCCUCUGCGUGGAUACUGCAGAAAACGUGGGAAACACUAAUAUGGGGAAAAAACAGCGCUACCUGAUCACCUGCCAGUCCUUACCCGGACACUACUCAGCAAUGGAAAGCCACAUUUCCAGGAAUGCCUGUGCUCUGACCAGACUCCUUUGUGUUGUUGCAUCUCAGAGCCCCAGGUGCCUUGCUAUGGUGCUGACGGUAAGAGCAAUGUGCACAGGGUGCAGCCUCCACGUAUACGGGGCAGUACCUUCGCUAUUGUAUUGUGUUCAACAGGUGGCAGCAGAGAACUGCAGUGCUCCUAGGCAGUGCAAGAACUGCACAGAGCAAUUUGUGGCUUUUCAUGAAGUCAGCAAGAAAUGGAAAGCUGGAUUUCUUGGAAUGCCCGGGAACCUGACUUUGCUGACUGGUAACUCAUUACCUGUGUGGGAAAGGGCAAUGUACACCCACCAAUGUUUACUCAUUACAUAGUGCAGCACAACCUAGUGCUCCCAGUGCUUGUAACUGUGCUUUAGGGUAUCCUACAGGCUGCCUGUCCUUCUCCUACAUUCUCCUUGUCUCUGGCCUUUCCCUGCGGUGUUCUCCUUGCCUUCGCCUUGGCUUUCUCUGGCUAUUUUUGUUGCCCUCGCCUGGGGCUUCCUUGCGGCAUUCUCCUUGGCUUUGGCCUUGCCCUUGCCUGGGCCUUCCGUGUGGCGUUCUUCCCGCCAUUGCCUUAGUUUUGGUUUUCCCUUGAGCAUUCUAAUUGCCUUUCUUUCUGCCUUUUCCUUCCCUCACUGUUCUCCUUGCCUUUGCCUUGCUGUUCCCUUGGGUUUUCUGCUUGCCUUUGCCUCCCUGGGAUUGAGAGGCAGCGUUAAUGUUAAUCUUGACCUCAACCCUAAGCUUAAUGGGAGCUCUAAAGAUAAUUAUAUUAACCCACAAUGUGACUUUAAACCUAACCCUUAACCCAAUGCUGAAAAUGUCUCUAAUGCUCAAUGUAGCAAUAAAAACAAUGCCUGGAGAUUUGUAAGUAAACUU
Numida meleagris (helmeted guineafowl) is the source of this 2274-nucleotide long non-coding RNA. Lineage: Eukaryota; Metazoa; Chordata; Aves; Galliformes; Numididae. The record is from Ensembl.